Molecule: ribosomal RNA, 273 nt
Filed under: uncultured bacterium
Lineage: Bacteria
Description: partial 16S ribosomal RNA
Rfam family: Bacterial small subunit ribosomal RNA
Source: RNAcentral
GACAGAGGGUGCAAACGUUGUUCGGAAUUACUGGGCGUAAAGCGCGUGUAGGCGGCCAUCUAAGUCGGGCGUGAAAUCCCACGGCUCAACCGUGGAAGUGCACUCGAAACUGGAUGGCUAGAGUCCUGGAGAGGAAGGUGGAAUGCUUGGUGUAGAGGUGAAAUUCGUAGAUAUCAAGCGGAACACCGGUGGCGAAGGCGGCCUUCUGGGACAGUGACUGACGGCUGAGACGCGAAAAGCGUGGGGGAGCAAACAGGGAUUAGAAAACCCCCG